UGUAGCAAAAUUUCAGGUGACGUGAUAAGGUCACGGUGUACCUUGGGAGUAAUCUCGAACUACGUGACGUGACGUAA
Molecule: long non-coding RNA, 77 nt
Organism: Juglans microcarpa x Juglans regia
Lineage: Eukaryota; Viridiplantae; Streptophyta; Magnoliopsida; Fagales; Juglandaceae
Exons: 3
Source: RefSeq, a predicted model, not a curated record